Salvelinus sp. IW2-2015 is the source of this 1013-nucleotide non-coding RNA. The record is from RefSeq and is a predicted model, not a curated record. Lineage: Eukaryota; Metazoa; Chordata; Actinopteri; Salmoniformes; Salmonidae.
CGAAACCAAGAGUAAACAGGGUAAAUGCUACAUCUUUACAGUACAUGAAAUAUGUUCACUCAAACUCAGUUGAGUGCUGGUUAGGUAACGUUAAUCCUCCAUGUUUUUACUGUUUGUUUCGCCAGCUAUGCUUUGCAGCGAAUAUAAAUACCUUCAUAACAUUUAAAUAAAAUGUGUUCAUCUAUGAAACAGUAAAAAUGGUUGAGGGUUUAUAAUUUAGCUGAAUGGACAUAACUAAAGCUGUACUACUUGUGCCUAGUUAACUUGACAACAAUGUUCUUACUGUAAAUGUCAUUACGGUUACAUGCACACAUUAAUGUGGUUAUUGUGCAUAGUCAUUAUAUAAUAGUUCGAUUCAAACGUUUACAUGCUUUGCAAGAAUAACGAUCUCUAAUAAUCAUGUAUACAUGGACACGUCGGAAAUCAGAUUACCCGAUGGCACUCUGACAAAUGCCGAAAAUCGCCAAUCAAAAUAAACGUUCUUCCACCGCGACCGCGUUAUUUUUGGGAAGCAUAUUUGACAUAUAAAGCUUUAUGUGAAAACUACUAUGAAGCCGAAACCACAGAGACACGCCGUCAGAAUUUGCGUGCGAGAGUAGAGUGCGUCAAUUCACAUACACAGCAUCGCAUAUGCAAUUUAAUGGUCAUUACAUAACAAACAGUUGUAUUUGUUAUGUUCGCUAUGUGCCCUUGUGAAUUAAUGUGUUCCUUUUGAUUAACCUUAUGUCCUACAGGAGCCACCGUACAUGCCUAAUCUAAACAGUUAUGUUAGCUCACGAAUGUGAGGAGUUGUUGCUCAUACACCCGAGCAGAUUUUAAAGAAUUUAUCUUGUCUCAUUCGUUCUACACAACAGUAUUCUCUCUUGAAAUCAGAGUUCCUCGAGUUUCCCAGCCCUAGCCUGCCUAGCUAAGUUAUAUUCCUGUGAUGGAAAUCAACACAGGUGCCUCCUUGCUUUGCUGUUCAUUGCUAUCCUUAUCAACAAGUUGAUAGGACCAUCUUUCUCCACCCUCUU